This 465-nucleotide ribosomal RNA is filed under the name Vreelandella stevensii. RNAcentral describes it as "partial 16S ribosomal RNA". It matches the Rfam family "Bacterial small subunit ribosomal RNA", at positions 338 to 795 of the family's 1533-position model. The record is from RNAcentral. Lineage: Bacteria; Pseudomonadati; Pseudomonadota; Gammaproteobacteria; Oceanospirillales; Halomonadaceae.
CCUACGGGGCGCAGCAGUGGGGAAUAUUGGACGAUGGGCGAAAGCCUGAUCCAGCCAUGCCGCGUGUGUGAAGAAGGCCUUCGGGUUGUAAAGCACUUUCAGUGGGGAAGAAAGCCUUGGGGCUAAUACCCUCGAGGAAGGACAUCACCCACAGAAGAAGCACCGGCUAACUCCGUGCCAGCAGCCGCGGUAAUACGGAGGGUGCGAGCGUUAAUCGGAAUUACUGGGCGUAAAGCGCGCGUAGGCGGUCUGAUAAGCCGGUUGUGAAAGCCCCGGGCUCAACCUGGGAACGGCAUCCGGAACUGUCAGGCUAGAGUGCAGGAGAGGAAGGUAGAAUUCCCGGUGUAGCGGUGAAAUGCGUAGAGAUCGGGAGGAAUACCAGUGGCGAAGGCGGCCUUCUGGACUGACACUGACGCUGAGGUGCGAAAGCGUGGGUAGCAAACAGGAUUAGAUACCCCUGUAGUC